Eucalyptus grandis is the source of this 813-nucleotide long non-coding RNA. RefSeq lists it as uncharacterized. The transcript is spliced from 5 exons. The record is from RefSeq and is a predicted model, not a curated record. NCBI's taxonomy places the organism in Eukaryota, Viridiplantae, Streptophyta, Magnoliopsida, Myrtales, Myrtaceae.
CAGUUCUCUUUCCUCUCCCAUUCCUGCCUCACGCUACUUGCCGUCGACGAGUUUCUCGAUGAAUUGAGCGAUCCCCUUCUUGGAUCUCCACACGGACUCGGGCCUCAAGUCCCUCAACGAGUUUCUCUCCGGCAAGACCCACAUCUCCGGAGAUCAACUCAUGAAGGACGACAUCAAGGUGUACGCCGCGGUUCUCGAUAAGCCCAGAGGCUCGUUCUUGAACGCCAGCAAGUGAUACAAGUGUGUGUCCUCACAUCUCGCCUCGAGAAAUCCAUUAUAUCUCUGGUCGUGGUAUCCUUGGCAUUGAUGAGUCAAAUGCAACCUGUGGGAAAAGGUUAGCAUCCAUCGGGUUGGACAAUACUGAGGUCAAUUGUCAAGCUUAUAGACAACUUCUGUUGACCACGCCUGGUCUGGGUGAAUACAUCUUUGGUGCCAUUUUGUUUGAGGAGACACUUUACCAAUCGACAACAGAUGGGAAGAAAUUUGUUGACUGCUUGCGUGAGGAGAAAAUUGUUCCAAGUAUUAAAGUUGACAAGGGUUUGGUUCCUCUUCCUGGAUCCAAUAAUGAAUCCUGGUGCCAAGGCUUGGAUGGAUUGGCUUCAAGGUCUGCUGAAUACUACAAGAAAGGUGUUUGUUUUGCCAAAUGGAGGACAGUAGUUAGCAUUCCUUGUUGCUUGCAUCAGUGAUUUUCUUGUGUUUGUCAAUUGUCACAACAAAAGUGGCUAAGUUGCCAUCCUUUUUCUGAUCUUGGCUUGAGCUGACAUAGAAGCUUUGAUUUGUCUCUUUCCUUCUUCGUUAUAGUUCAAAUUUGAA